UUGGAGGCGAUGAUGCUUUGAACUACCUAUUUUAUGAGGGAAUGAAAAUCAUUCCCUUGUGAUUACAAAAUUACCAAUGGAUCCUUCUGAGCCUUACACUCUUUUCUAUUUUGUUAAUUGUGGUUGUUGUAGAGAAUAGAUUUGAAGUAGCCAUGGAUGUGAUGAUAUCCUUUUCCGAAUUAUAUAAAUGUGGACUUAUUAAAGACUACAAUUAUCUGAUUCAUG
Non-coding RNA from Lupinus albus (white lupine), 225 nucleotides. Lineage: Eukaryota; Viridiplantae; Streptophyta; Magnoliopsida; Fabales; Fabaceae. The record is from the annotation of a GenBank genome assembly.